GGCCGGUUAGCUCAGUCAGUUGAGCGUAGCGCUAACAACGCUAAAGUCGUGGGUUCAAUUCCCGUUCGGUCC
RNAcentral lists this transfer RNA (72 nucleotides) under Apaloderma vittatum (bar-tailed trogon). It matches the Rfam family "tRNA". Rfam says of the family: Transfer RNA (tRNA) molecules are approximately 80 nucleotides in length. The record is from Rfam by way of RNAcentral. Lineage: Eukaryota; Metazoa; Chordata; Aves; Trogoniformes; Trogonidae.